GUCACGCAUCAGACCUC
RNAcentral lists this ribosomal RNA (17 nucleotides) under Kindbergia praelonga. RNAcentral describes it as "partial 26S ribosomal RNA". The record is from RNAcentral. RNAcentral also lists the same sequence under 3 other names. Lineage: Eukaryota; Viridiplantae; Streptophyta; Bryopsida; Hypnales; Brachytheciaceae.